GUGCCCACUUUGACAUCAUAUAUACUAAAAUUGGAACAAUAUGGAGAAGAUUAACAUAGCACCUAACCAAGGAAGACAUGCAAAUUCAUGAAGCAUUCCAUAGUUUU
Heterocephalus glaber (naked mole-rat) is the source of this 107-nucleotide small nuclear RNA. The record is from Ensembl. Lineage: Eukaryota; Metazoa; Chordata; Mammalia; Rodentia; Bathyergidae.